UACAGUGGCGUACGGGUGAGUAACACGUGGAUGAUCUACCCUGGAGUGGGGAAUAACGCUGGGAAACCGGCGCUAAUACCGCAUAAUCCCGAGAGGGCAAAGGAGCAAUUCGCUUCAGGAGGAGUCCGCGGCCGAUUAGCUUGUUGGUAGGGUAAAAGCCUACCAAGGCAUCGAUCGGUAGCCGGCCUGAGAGGGCACACGGCCACACUGGCACUGAAACACGGGCCAG
RNAcentral lists this ribosomal RNA (229 nucleotides) under uncultured bacterium. RNAcentral describes it as "partial 16S ribosomal RNA". It matches the Rfam family "Bacterial small subunit ribosomal RNA", at positions 91 to 334 of the family's 1533-position model. The record is from RNAcentral.